UAGAUUAACCCUCUCUCUACUCUCUUUGAAUUGAUUUGAAUAAAUUUUGCUUUAAAAAAAAAAUGCUAACUGCAAACAAUUGUAAUACUAUGAAAUCAAUGAUAUUGUUGUUACAAAAUAUCACUAUGGAUAGUGCUGACUGAGUAGGGCAUCUUGCUACCUUAGUUUGAGCAAUGGUUUGUAACUAUAGCAUGACAUGUUUGAAUUAAAUGGCAUAUAGGUAGAUUUUAAUCUAAUGUAGUCCCUACCAAAAAAACAAGAAGAAGGUUCUUGAUGACUCAGCUGGCAAUAUAGCUUUACUAGUAUGGAGGAUUCAGGCAAAGAGUUGAGUGGAAACCAUAACAUGUCACCCCUUCUUUGGCAUUUGUCAGUGCAUUAUUGUAGUUUUUGUCCCCAUAAAUACUCAACUAUAUUGCUGAAUAUAUCGUACACCAUAUGAAGUCAAGAAUAUAUAUUCAAGAUACCUCUCAAUUGUUGUUCCAACAUAUAGGAAAUAAGUAAAUAUAUAGGUAACUUUAUACCUGAAUUUACUGUGCUAGUCAAUAUUAUUCCUCCUGUAACUUUAGCUUAUAUUUGAUAUUAGAAUGGAUAUGUCAGAAUCACGAUGAUCCAACACUAUAGCUUCUACAAAAUCACACGGAUCAUCGUAAUUCUAACAUAUCCACCCUGAUACCAAACACACACUUAAUCGUUACUUAUGAUGACAUAUCAUACUAAACGAUGAUGUGGUAGUCCAGUGUAAAACAUUAUUUAAUAGGACUUGAGUGGUAAAACAUUACUCAAUAGACUUACUCUUAAACGAGCCUAUCAAAUCUAAAAAUUUCAAACAUACACAUAAUUUCAAUGAAAUACUUCAACAUUUUCAAUUAAUUCUAAGAAAAUUCAAUGUGAUGAUAAUUAAAACUCAUUUAGACUACCACAUCAUCGUUUAAUGUCAA
Molecule: long non-coding RNA, 938 nt
Filed under: Medicago truncatula (barrel medic)
Lineage: Eukaryota; Viridiplantae; Streptophyta; Magnoliopsida; Fabales; Fabaceae
Description: long non-coding RNA (MTRU_LNC004354)
Source: RNAcentral